UUCUGGUUGAUCCUGCCGGACCUGACUGCUAUCGGAUUGAUACUAAGCCAUGCGAGUCAUUGUAGCAAUACAAGGCAUACGGCUCAGUAACGCGUAGUCAACCUAACCUAUGGACGGGAAUAACCUCGGGAAACUGAGAAUAAUGCCCGAUAGAACAUUAUGCCUGGAAUGGUUUAUGUUCCAAAUGAUUUAUCGCCGUAGGAUGGGACUGCGGCCUAUCAGUUUGUUGGUGAGGUAAUGGCCCACCAAGACUAUUACAGGUACGGGCUCUGAGAGGAGUAGCCCGGAGAUGGGUACUGAGACACGGACCCAGGCCCUAUGGGGCGCAGCAGGCGAGAAAACUUUGCAAUGUGCGAAAGCACGACAAGGUUAAUCCGAGUGGUUUCUGCUAAAGGAACCUUUUGUCAGUCCUAGAAACACUGAUGAAUAAGGGGUGGGCAAGUUCUGGUGUCAGCCGCCGCGGUAAAACCAGCACCUCAAGUGGUCAGGAUGAUUAUUGGGCCUAAAGCAUCCGUAGCCGGCUCUGUAAGUUUUCGGUUAAAUCUGUACGCUCAGCGUACAGGCUGCCGGGAAUACUGCAGAGCUAGGGAGUGGGAGAGGUAGACGGUACUCGGUAGGAAGGGGUAAAAUCCUUUGAUCUAUUGAUGACCACCUGUGGCGAAGGCGGUCUACCAGAACACGUCCGACGGUGAGGGAUGAAAGCUGGGGGAGCAAACCGGAUUAGAUACCCGGGUAGUCCCAGCUGUAAACUAUGCAAACUCAGUGAUGCAUUGGCUUGUGGCCAAUGCAGUGCUGCAGGGAAGCCGUUAAGUUUGCCGCCUGGGAAGUACGUACGCAAGUAUGAAACUUAAAGGAAUUGGCGGGGGAGCACCACAAGGGGUGAAGCCUGCGGUUCAAUUGGACUCAACGCCGGGA
This 915-nucleotide ribosomal RNA is filed under the name uncultured marine group I thaumarchaeote. Its description in RNAcentral is "bacterial SSU rRNA". It matches the Rfam family "Archaeal small subunit ribosomal RNA", at positions 1 to 923 of the family's 1478-position model. The record is from RNAcentral. Lineage: Archaea; Thermoproteati; Nitrososphaerota.